Molecule: long non-coding RNA, 682 nt
Filed under: Dasypus novemcinctus (nine-banded armadillo)
Lineage: Eukaryota; Metazoa; Chordata; Mammalia; Cingulata; Dasypodidae
Description: lncRNA (ENSDNOG00000052328.1)
Source: RNAcentral
UUUUAUUCAGUAGUUAAAAUUAUGUUGUAAAACAUACUAUUGAAAUUCUUUGAUAUAAGAUGCAUUUGAAAUAAUACUUAUUUCUCUUUAAUUUUUAGGAAGUGUUUGGAUUGUAAGCUAUUUUAGAACUCUGUUCUCAGGACCCAGUGUUUGGGAGAAACACAUCCAGAAGGGUAGCUAUAGAUACCGAAAAUUUGACCAAAGAUUUAAAAGGAGACUUUCAUGAAAUUUUCCGGAGACCAGUUGACCAAGGCAAACUGAUGCUGUGGAGACUUCGUUGGGGUAGUGGUCUGGAAGAGAUGUAUAGAAGCAAACUGACUUGGGUUUGAAUCCCUGAUUUAUUGUAUGACCUUGGGUAAGUCUCUCGACCUGUGAGCCUUCGUUUCUUCAUCUGUAAAAUGGGAUAAUACCCAUUUUAUACAGAUAGUGAUUAGAUGAGAUAAUAUAUGACAAACAUUGAGCAUGAUGUUUAUGACCUACUUAUUGUCCAAUAACUUGCCACCUAGUUAAUAUAAAUUAAUCGUAAUAACUGGGAAUAAAGACACUAAAUAGUUGUUUUGAAAACUUAGAUUUCAUGUCGAGAGACAUAGUUAGAACAUAGAAAUUUAUUUAAAGCUUCUUGAAAAAUCUUUAGAAAACCACAUCCUAGUUAAGUGUUUACAGGUAAAUGGAUUGACGUUGA